CAAUAGCGUAUAUUAAAGUUGUUGCAGUUAAAAAGCUCGUAGUUGGACUUCUGCGGGUGGCGGCCGGUCGUGCUCGAAACGGGCGUGAACUUGGCGUGCUGCCCGCAUCUUUGGGGAGAUUGUGCGUGGCAUUAAGUUGUCGUGCAUGGGAUUCUCAUCAUUUACUGUGAAAAAAUUAGAGUGUUUAAAGCAGGCCUUUGCCUUGAAUACAUUAGCAUGGAAUAAUAAGAUAGGACCGUUGUCUAUUUUGUUGGUUUACAGAUGUCGGUAAUGAUUAAUAGGGAUAGUUGGGGGUAUUCGUAUUCAGUUGUCAGAGGUGAAAUUCUUGGAUUUUCGGAAGACGCACGACCGCGAAAGCAUUUACCAAGGAUGUUUNCAUUAA
This 382-nucleotide ribosomal RNA is filed under the name uncultured eukaryote. RNAcentral's name for it is "partial 18S ribosomal RNA". It matches the Rfam family "Eukaryotic small subunit ribosomal RNA", at positions 592 to 976 of the family's 1831-position model. The record is from RNAcentral.